Molecule: long non-coding RNA, 692 nt
Filed under: Toxoplasma gondii VEG
Lineage: Eukaryota; Apicomplexa; Conoidasida; Eucoccidiorida; Sarcocystidae
Source: RNAcentral
CGCGGAGUCCAGAUGUCUGCGAAAAAGGAGACCAGUCGCGCGCGCCUCGGCGUAUCGCCUUCGCUUGAAGAGAACGUGACUUUCCGCUGCCGGAUUUGUUGAUCUCUCCAGCUUUCUUUGUUUGCUUCCCCCUUCUUGUCGCCCUGUCCCCAGACAUUUUCUCAGAAUCCUUUGCUGCGCUGAGAAAAGAAAAGGGGAAGCGCCCUUUCGCGCAGUUGUCGCCUGAAGCCUUCCAGGUCCGAUUCUCUCCCCUGCGAUGGAAAAUCCUUCCCGGUCCCUGGCGGGAGGAGCUUUUCAAAACUUCUGGAAGGAGCGUUCCUAGGAACGCGAGGCCAACAGGAAGUCUCCCCAAGAAAAAACGGCAGACUGUGGAGAAGACAACACGAGAAAACGAACGAGAGCGAGAGGAAGAGAAGAAAAAUGGAGGCCAUAAGACCGAACGAAACAGACGGGGAGAACCUGAAGAGACAGAGACAAUGAACGCGCGGUCGAUAAAGGGAGAGAACCAGAAGAGAAAAAAAGAGAAAGGGGAGGAGUAGAAAGAGGAGCAAAGAGAAGCAAAAAAGGAGAGCGAAAAAACGGCAAAGAAAACAAGAGGCGUAUGGCAGAUACUCAGCUUCUCCAACAAGUCGAAACUCCUUCGCAUCUCGCUUUUUAUCCUUCACAUCUCCGACAACCAAAGUCGAUUCUCC